GAGUAGAUACAACAGAAUGUUCGCUCUGUUGCUUUCUUCUGCUAAUCGUAGCUCUUCCUUUACCAGGUUUCCAGCCUGUCACAGCUCCCAGCUCUUCCUGCACAUUCAACAGGACGUUGGGGGGAUCUGUCCAUCUGCAACUGACUUCACGGCCCUUCUUGAGCCCUAACAUUUGGGAGAUUGAGUGGAUUUGGAAUUCUGAGUCUAAGAGAAAACAUUUUCUGGUGUCCUUGAAGCCUAAUAACUCUAAUCCUCAAUGGUACAACCUUGAAGAAAAAUACAAGCAUAGAUUCUACCUGACAGAGAUGUCUUCCUUGAACAUCCGGGAUCUCACUAUGGAAAUAGGUGGACUAUAUGUAGCGACAAUCAAAUUCUCCUCAGGAGAAUCCCAGCAAGAAUCUUUUAGAGUCUGUGUAUAUGAGCCCAUCCCCCAGCCCCAAAUUGUGAUUCAUUCAUCAUCCAACACAUCAGGCUGGUGCAAUGUCAGCCUGGAGUGUGGGACCCCAGGGGCUACAGAGAACCUGGCAAUAACCUGGCUGAGCAAGGGCUUCCCCAGGGAGCUGGAACAGAGAGAGACACUGGUGCCAGCCGCCAACUCCAGGAAUCUAAGCCUGAGCCUGCCCCUGAGCCGGUUGAAUGGGCACCUCACCUGUGUGUUCAGCAACCCUGCGGACCAGAAGAAUGCAACCUUAGACCUGGAGACCAUCUGUCCUUGGAGGGGUUCUCCUCAGAGCAAAUGGCUUUGGAUAGGCCCCAUCCUCGUCCUGGUUCUGAUGGUGAGCUUGGUGGCCGGAGUGUGGAUCUGGAAGAGGAAGAAUACGAAGGCUGAGAGAGGUGGGUGCUGGGGGAGGGGCCAUGGAGGGAUGAGGCCCCAGGGAGGGAUGAGGCCCCAGGGAGAGGGACAGGCUGGGAAGGACAGUGGGCAGAUAGAGGCUCAGCGGCCUCUCCGUGGAUCCCUGGCAGAAGGCUGGGGAGCAGUGCUGGGGGGGGGCAGGUGUGUGAAGGACCAAGAGGAAAGGGUGGUGCAUGUCCGAGACACAGCAGGCGUCCGGGACCCGCAGUUACAGCUCAGGGAGCAAUAGCUGCCCUCACGCUGGCUUCAAUUCCACAUACCUUCAUUGAGCACCUGCUGUGUACAGGUGGGCCCGCUUUUCUGCCCGAGGAGCCAAGCUCGGCAGCUGCUCCCCAUGUCCUUUCCACGGAGAAAUUUGCUGACUCACAGACUGGAGAGGUCAACAGCCAUGAGCCUCCCUACGCAGAGAUCGGCCUCCUGAGACACCCUAAGGUGGGUCUGAGGGAAUCAAAUCAGGCCAGCUGGGAGGUCCAGGGCACUCUGCCCCGCCGUGAGGCUCUGGGCCCAGUCCUUGCCUUGGGCGAUAUGGCUGCAUGCCUGUGCGCGUGUGUGCUGUGAGUUGUGGUGCAAGGGGAGGAGACCUGCUCCUAUAGCUCCACAUCCCUAACCUCAUCAGGAAAGAUGGCAGAGCAGGGCAGAGGGGGACCGAGGCUCAGUGAGGUGAGCGGCUGGCCCACGGGCACACCAGCUUGCAGUGGAGGAAGUGGGACGAGAACCCUAGAGGGACUCACCAUCCACCGGCUGAAACUCGGGCCCCAGAAGAGGCAAGAGUGUAAAUGACCAGGUGUCAGGUGAGACUGACUGUGCAAGACCCAGCAAGAGUCUUGCAGCAGGGUGUGGAGGAGGCGGAGACAGCAGGCCCCCACCCUGGCCCCUCUGCCUCCUACCUGCCUGAGCCUCUAACAUUAAUGCCACCACUUUGUGUAAAGGCGUGGCCGCCCCCACUUGAAGCAAUGCCGCUGGGAGAGCAGCUCACGCUGGGCUCCUGGCCCUUGGCUGGAAAUGGGUGCUAUGGUCCCAGAUGGAAAGAUUCUGCUGAGGGAGGAGCCUUGGUGGGGGAGAGCGAGACCCAGACGAACACUGGGGCUUACCCAGAGAACCUUGACAAGCACAAGGCCGAAUGGGGGCCCCUCACUCCCAGCCCAGUGCCCUGUCCACUGUCCCUAUCUGCCCCAGUGCCGGUGGCUUUGUGGCUUCCCAUCUCAGCCCUUCUGUGUCAUUUCCCCACCUGACCUGGGCUGCAGGGGACUCAGGAAAUAUAAAAACUCCUUGGGAUCCAAGCCCCAAUACCCCCACCCCCGCCAGAGACACACAGGAGGGGGCCGUAUGUAGCUUUGGGAUAGAGAAACCAACCUGGUGGCAUCCAACCCAGAUACUCAGCCCUGUUCCGAAGCCCCCUGCCGCUGGGGAGUCUCUGCCCCUGGGGAGCUCCUAGGCUGCUGGAGAAAAUGAGCAGCUCCCAGACACGCAGACAGCACAGAAGAGGGAGUGGGGAGAAGGAGCAGAUCAGGAGGGAUGGGCGUGAGACCCAGUUCUGACGCUGACUUCUUGUUCAGCCUUGAAAGGUUACUUUACCUCCCUGGGCCUCAGUUUUCUCUUUUAUAAAAUGUGGAUUAUGAUAAUAACAGUAAUACCUUACAUUUAGCAGGCGCUUUGCAGUUUUCCAGAGCAACUUUGCAAUGAGAGCAGUCAAGGUGACUUACAAAUUUGUCCAAGGAGUGUUUAUCUUCCUAUGAAUGGAAUUAUUCUGAUCUGGGCUACAGAAUUCCAUACCAAAACAAGUACAAACCAAAAAAAAAAAAAAAAAAAUCCUUGCCCUCACAGAAUAUGCAUGCUACUGGGGGUGGGUGUGGGUAGGGAGAAUGACAAAUAAAAUAAAUAAACUAUGAAGUGUUAGAUGAUGAUAAAUGCUAAGGAGAAAAUGCAGCAGGGAAUGGAGGAGGGGACAUGAUGAUGGGCUGUCAGAGCAAGCCUCACCGAGAGGAGAGCCUGAAGGAGGUGAGGGAGAAAGCAUGUGGAGGUCUUGGGUGGUGGGAGCAGAGGGGUGGCAUCCCGGGCAGAGGACAGAACAAAUGCAAAGACUUGUAGAGCUCAAGUGAGGCACCUGGGCUGAAGCUAGAUUUGGGGGAGUUAUUAGGGCUAAGAGACCCAGAACUACUUGGCUGAGGACAAGAAACACAUGAAGAGAGGUAGCCCAACUGGCCCUUGAACAUAGUUCUUAGAGGCUGAGCAAGACCACUCCUCAAUCCCACUUGAACUGUAGAACAACAUGGAGGAGAGACGCUUCCACGCACAAAGCCCCAAGCUGACUCCAGAAACCCACACCAUCUAUGAGAAGAUCCGGCUGAGCCCAGAGGCCGUAGGGGAUACCUAGACCAUGAAGACACUGGAACAAUGAGGGGCCUUGGUAAGAUCUGCUACACCCCACCUUUCACCCAUGGGUCCCACUAUGCUUCUUUACGGUGGAGCUGGAACUAGACCCCAAGUCUCCCUGACCCCUCCCACUGAGACAACGGGCAGCAGGAGCUGCCCCCUGGUUUCCCCACGGGUGUGAACAGUGACUCUGCUAUUCAAACAUUGAAGCAUGAAAGGCAAACCCUUCAGCGGUCAGCCGGCCUCUGACCUCUGGCCUUUGACCGACUUAAUGCCCAUUAGUGCAUACUCUUGGUCGGGCAGGACCCGUGCUGGCAUGGUCAGGGUGCAGAGAUGCUUUCACAGAACAGGGGGGGUCCUGGGCCUGAGAAAGAUGAGCCUUGGGUGGAGGACCUUUAAGAUGUCGCCACUACCCAGGGACAGAGAGGUAGCCCUUGACUGUGGAAAAGCAGGAGGCCUGCAGGUACAAGAUUAGGGGCCCGCUGCAGUGUAGAAGUGAGUGAUGGGAAUGGGAGGGAAUAUUUCUUUAGCUCCACUAUCUACCAGGCUUAAUUCUAAGUGUACUAAAUAUGCUAUCUCAGGAUUUCUCAAAAUUCAAGUAACUCACAGACCCUUUCCCUUUUAUUACGUAACAGAAGUCAAAGGGCAUGUCAUUGAAAUUAUGAUAUUUCGCCAAUUUUGUUGCUGUAGUACAUGUGGUCUUGUUCCCUAUAUAUCCUCUUACUGGUUGGUUAAAGUAAUAUGCACAAAAUACCAUGUUUCCCUGAAAAUAAGACAGGGUCUUAUAUUUAUUUUUCCUCAAGAAGACACCCUAGGGCUGAUUUUCAGGGAAUGUGUUAUUUUCUCUUCAAAGACUCAGCUUGCAGCACGCAUAGGAUGCUUGAGACCUGACAGGGGGAGCCGACCUUGUUGGCAGGGCUGCCCGCACCUUUCCAGUCACCUCUGGGAUAGUAGCUGUCGCGAUGGGGCAGAUGAGAAGGGCUGCUCCUCUUCUUUACUGCUCGGAUGUGAAGUGCAUGGGUUGUGCAGAUGGGUUGUGCAGAUGGGUUGUGUAGCCACGCCCAUCACUAGGUCUUAUUUUCGGGGUAGGGCUUAUAUUGCACAAAUGUUUAGAAAUCCUGCUAGGGCUUAUUUUAUGGGUAGGUCUUAUUUUCAGGGAAACACGGUAUAUUUAAAAACAUGCUAAAUCCUAUCAUUUGUAAUAGUUUUUCAUUUUAAUUAAGUUGAAUUUCUGUGUAGAUAACCAUAUUAUCAACAAAUAAUUAUAAAUUUUGCUUGUUUCCAAUUUUUAUGCCUUAUUCCUUUCUUUUGGCUAAUUGGGUUGACUAAUACCUCGAAAACUGUGUUAAAUAUUAGUGAUGAUAAAAGAUAUCCUUGGUUUGUCCUUAACUUUAAUAUGAAUACUUCCAAUGUUUCUCCACCAAGCGUGAUGUUGUUUUUUGGCUAAGGCAUAUAUAUUUUAUCAUGUUCAGAAAGUAUGUACCUAUUCUCAUUUUAUCAAAAGUUUUACCAAAAAUAAAACGUCAAAUGUUGUCAUUUCCCUUUCUGCAUUAGUGAAUAUAUUAUUUUUCUCUUUUUCACACAUUCAUAAUAUAUUAAUAGAUUUCCUAAUAUUGAACCUUUCAUGUAUUAUUGGAAUAAGCUCCAGCUGAUGUAUUAUUCUUUUAAUGUGCUACUGUUGGAUAAUAUUUUUAUUUGGGAUUUUUGUAUCAUUAUUUGUAAAUGAAAUUCUCCUGUAGUUUUUUAUGUUUUACUUUGUCAGUCUGGUAUUUAUGUUAUGCUUAUUAAGAAAUCAUUUUAUUUUCACUUCUUAUAAUAACUCAAUAAAAAUUGGCCUUGUAGUAAAAAAAUACCCUACUUAAAGAAAAGAAUUCCCAUCACACAGUGAUUUAUAUUAUUUUUAUUACAAUGUUACUUUAAGAUAUACAAACAUGAAACUAUAUAUAAAUGUCUUAUGAUAUAGCUUUUAUGUCAUAAACUAAAACAUGUAUAUAAUGUAAAUAAAAAAACUAAAGCAAUGAAGCAAUGGUUAUUUUAACUAAUGUUCAAACCUACAAAUUUAAUGUACUGAUGAUAGAUGUUUUUGUUUUGGUGAAAUUUGAUGUUAGGCUAGUUUUUUCCUUAAAUUCUAAUGUCAAUGAUUUAUUUUCAGCAUGAAGCUUAAAGCAAUUCAACUUGGAG
Molecule: long non-coding RNA, 5407 nt
Organism: Microcebus murinus (gray mouse lemur)
Lineage: Eukaryota; Metazoa; Chordata; Mammalia; Primates; Cheirogaleidae
Source: Ensembl